ACCUCCUUGUAACAAAAUUAAGAGCUACUCAAAGGAGGUACAGCUCCUUUGACAAAGAAUACAACCUCCCCUAGCGGAUAACCACACAGACCUCCUCCCCUUGUGGGCCUUAAAGCAGCCACCAACAAAGAGUGCGUCAAAGCUCAUAACCCCAAAAAUCCAAAAACACACGCGACUCCCUUACCCACAAUAGGCCAACCUAUAACAAUAGAAGAAUUAAUGCUAAAAUGAGUAACCUGAGAUCAUCCCUCCAAAAGCGUAAACUUACAUCAGCACAUUAUUAACAGAUCACUUAUACCCCCACUCUAACAAGAACACAUAUUCCUUCCCCUGUUAAACCCACCCAGGAGCGCCUACUGGACGAUUAAAAUCUGUAAAAGGAACUCGGCAAACUCCAAGGCUCGACUGUUUACCAAAAACAUAGCCUUCAGCCAACAACAAGUAUUGAAGGUGAUGCCUGCCCAGUGACAUCAAAGUUAAACGGCCGCGGUAUCCUAACCGUGCAAAGGUAGCGCAAUCAAUUGUCCCAUAAAUCGAGACUUGUAUGAAUGGCUAAACGAAGUCUUAACUGUCUCCUGCAGAUAAUCGGUGAAAUUGAUACUCUCGUGCAAAAGCGAGAAUAUGAACAUAAGACGAGAAGACCCUGUGGAACUUAAAAAUCAACAGCCACCUAAUCAAAUACCUUUCCCCCAUGCGGACCCACCCAUCAUUACCAGCGCCUGGCCAGUAUUUUUCGGUUGGGGCGACCUUGGAGAAAAAAAAAUCCUCCAAACAACUCAGGCUACAACCCUUCACUAAGAGCUACCACUCAAAGUACUAAAAGUCACUAGACCCAAUACAAUUGAUCAAUGGACCAAGCUACCCCAGGGAUAACAGCGCAAUCCCCUCCAAGAGCCCAUAUCGACAAGGGGGUUUACGACCUCGAUGUUGGAUCAGGACAACCUAAUGGUGCAGCCGCUAUUAAGGGUUCGUUUGUUCAACGAUUAACAGUUCUACGUGAUCUGAGUUCAGACCGGAGCAAU
Molecule: ribosomal RNA, 1022 nt
Filed under: Oreophasis derbianus
Lineage: Eukaryota; Metazoa; Chordata; Aves; Galliformes; Cracidae
Description: partial 16S ribosomal RNA
Rfam family: Bacterial large subunit ribosomal RNA
Source: RNAcentral